UACGGGGGGGGCAAGCGUUGUUCGGAAUUACUGGGCGUAAAGGGCUCGUAGGCGGACAACUAAGUCAGACGUGAAAUCCCUCGGCUUAACCGGGGAACUGCGUCCGAUACUGGAUGGCUUGAAUCCGGGAGAGGGAUGCAGAAUUCCAGGUGUAGCGGUGAAAUGCGUAGAUAUCUGGAGGAAUACCGGUGGCGAAGGCGGCAUCCUGGACCGGCAUUGACGCUGAGGUGCGAAAGCCAGGGGAGCAAACGGG
This 253-nucleotide ribosomal RNA is filed under the name uncultured bacterium. Its description in RNAcentral is "partial 16S ribosomal RNA". It matches the Rfam family "Bacterial small subunit ribosomal RNA", at positions 524 to 776 of the family's 1533-position model. The record is from RNAcentral.